GAUGAAGAACGUAGCUAAAUGCGAUAAGUAAUGUGAAUUGCAGAAUUCAGUGAAUCAUCGAAUCUUUGAACGCACAUUGCGCCCGCCAGUAUUCUGGCGGGCAUGCCUGUUCGAGCGUCAUUACAACCCUCAGGCCCCCGGGCCUGGCGUUGGGGAUCGGCGGAGCCCCCCGUGGGCACACGCCGUCCCCCAAAUGCAGUGGCGGUCCCGCCGCAGCUUCCAUCGCGUAGUAGCUAACACCUCGCGACUGGAGAGCGGCGCGGCCACGCCGUAAAACACCCAACUCUUCUGAAGUUGACCUCGAAUCAGGUAGGAAUACCCGCUGAACUUAAGCAUAUCAAUAAGCGGAGGA
RNAcentral lists this unclassified non-coding RNA (352 nucleotides) under soil metagenome. RNAcentral describes it as "partial contains 5.8S ribosomal RNA, internal transcribed spacer 2, and large subunit ribosomal RNA". The stretch from base 1 to 120 matches the Rfam family "5.8S ribosomal RNA", at positions 35 to 154 of the family's 154-position model. The record is from RNAcentral.